Paramuricea clavata is the source of this 641-nucleotide non-coding RNA. The record is from the annotation of a GenBank genome assembly. Lineage: Eukaryota; Metazoa; Cnidaria; Anthozoa; Malacalcyonacea; Plexauridae.
UGAUUCUGACGAGUCGGAUUCAGAAGAAGUGUUUGAUAAGCAAGAUGACGGACGAAGAGAUGACAAGAGGCCAACUCGAUCGUAUUAUUCGAGUAGUCGAUCAAGAGGGUCCUAUAGUUCUCGCGGAAGGGGAAGAGGGAGUUCACAGAUAACCCGUAGCCCACGGAAACAGCCAGAGAAACCGCCACGUUUUCAAAGACAAGAAGCAAGAAGUGCUAGCAGAGGUCGAGGAAAGAGUAACCGAGGAGGAUUUUCUUCCAAAGAUAACUGGGAUGAGAACAUUUCAAAGAAUAGAGAUAGUAGGAAGUCCGAUGAAGGACCUUUGCCCAAAAAGCGUCCGCCGGAUACAUCCUAUUCAAAGGAAAAGUGAUUGUGAACUUUAUUUAAGCACGGAGGCCUGUCGUCCAAAUUGAACAGGAGCGAUAUAGCAUGGUCAAAAACUCAUUAAUAAUUCAUGAAGCAAUUAUCCAAUCUUGAGUAAGAAAUUAGUCACGUGCAUACGUCUUUAUACCGGCUAAAGAACACUUUAACAAAAGACCAUUGUUAUGCAAACUAUAUAAAGAUUUUUAUAUAAAGAUUUUUAUAUAAAGAUUUGACUUAUUAUGCAAACGUUUUUGAAGCCAUUUAAAAAACUCGCAGGU